Molecule: antisense RNA, 69 nt
Filed under: Actinoalloteichus hymeniacidonis
Lineage: Bacteria; Bacillati; Actinomycetota; Actinomycetes; Pseudonocardiales; Pseudonocardiaceae
Description: ASpks TB sRNA
Rfam family: ASpks TB sRNA
Source: RNAcentral
CUUGAUCGAGCCGAGCCACAGCGGUUCGGCGCGGUCCCGGCCAUAGGUGGCGAGUAGGGCCUGUGCCUC